Non-coding RNA from Dichomitus squalens LYAD-421 SS1, 92 nucleotides. The record is from the annotation of a RefSeq genome assembly. Lineage: Eukaryota; Fungi; Basidiomycota; Agaricomycetes; Polyporales; Polyporaceae.
GGCCGACUAGCUCAGUUGGUUAGAGCGUGGUGCUAAUAGCGCGCCCUGCGCAUGUUACGCCAAGGUCGUCGGUUCGACCCCGGCGUUGGCCA